GGGGGGGGGGGGGGGGGGGGGGGGGGCGGGGAAGGCGAGGGGGGGGGCCGGGGGUGGGGGGGGUGCGCGGGUGGCGAACGGGUGAGUAACACGUGAGUAAGCUGCGCUUGGCGUGGGGAUAGCGUCAGGCACGUGGGGCUACUGCCGGAUAGGAGCUCCUGCUGCAUGGUGGGGGUUGGAAAGUUUCGGCGGUUGGGGAUGGACUGGCGUCUUAUCAGCUUGUUGGUGGGGUAGUGUCUGACAAAGUCUUUGGCUGGUAGCCGGACGGAGAGGGUGGCCGGACACACUGGGACGGAGAUACGGCCCAGACUCCUACGGGAGGCAGCAGUGGGGAAUAUUGCACAAUGGGCGGAAGCAUGAUGCAGGAACGCAGCGUGCGGGAUGACGGCCUUCGGGUUGUAAACCGCUUUCGCCUGUGACGAAGCGUGAGUGACGGUAAUGGGUAAAGAAGCACCGGCUAACUACGUG
Molecule: ribosomal RNA, 468 nt
Filed under: uncultured bacterium
Lineage: Bacteria
Description: partial 16S ribosomal RNA
Rfam family: Bacterial small subunit ribosomal RNA
Source: RNAcentral